AGUGAACGCUGGCGGUAGGCCUAACACAUGCAAGUCGAACGGCAGCACAGUAAGAGCUUGCUCUUACGGGUGGCGAGUGGCGGACGGGUGAGGAAUACAUCGGAAUCUACUUUUUCGUGGGGGAUAACGUAGGGAAACUUACGCUAAUACCGCAUACGACCUACGGGUGAAAGCAGGGGAUCUUCGGACCUUGCGCGAUUGAAUGAGCCGAUGUCGGAUUAGCUAGUUGGCGGGGUAAAGGCCCACCAAGGCGACGAUCCGUAGCUGGUCUGAGAGGAUGAUCAGCCACACUGGAACUGAGAAACGGUCCCGACUCCUACGGGAGGCAGCAGGUGGGAAUAUUGGGCAAUGGGCGGCAGCCUGAUCCAGCCAUACCCCGUUGGUUAAGAAGGCCUUCCGGUUUUAAAGCCCUUUUUUUGGGAAAGAAAAGCAGCAGGUUAAUACCCCGCUGUUCUGACGGUACCCAAAGAAUAAGCACCGGCUAACUUCGUG
This 492-nucleotide ribosomal RNA is filed under the name uncultured bacterium. RNAcentral describes it as "partial 16S ribosomal RNA". It matches the Rfam family "Bacterial small subunit ribosomal RNA", at positions 29 to 507 of the family's 1533-position model. The record is from RNAcentral.